GACGGGCCGGGAGCGACCGGGAUAUGGAAAGUCUAGAUCGGGAAUUGAUGGGCCGUGCGUCCGUAGGACCAAAAAUCCAUCAUAUAUCAAAUAAAUGGAAACUGGCGCGUAUGGGCCGGGUUUAUCGCGGAGACGAGUAGCAACAUGGAAACUGUAGAUUUACUAUAUAAAAAAAAAACAAGGAAAGAGUCGCUGUCUCUUACAGCUAUCUUAGCACACGGAAAUCGUAAGUAGGUAGGACCACACGGCCUAAGAAAUAUCCACGCAGCCGUGAGGAUGUUUUUUUUGUUUUGGGGGCGAAGAGAAGUUGGCACUUGUAAUUUGAGUGGUUUUACAAAAAAAAGACAUGCACGGUGAUUAAGCUACAAUUUGCAUUCCCGUAUGAAACUCGUAUUUAGUAGAGUUGGUAUUUGCAUUGUUAUUAGGGUCAUUUAUACUCGAGAUUUUCCCCUAUGCUCCUGCG
This 463-nucleotide long non-coding RNA is filed under the name Hordeum vulgare. RNAcentral's name for it is "long non-coding RNA (HVUL_LNC010757)". The record is from RNAcentral. Lineage: Eukaryota; Viridiplantae; Streptophyta; Magnoliopsida; Poales; Poaceae.